Molecule: ribosomal RNA, 482 nt
Filed under: uncultured bacterium
Lineage: Bacteria
Description: partial 16S ribosomal RNA
Rfam family: Bacterial small subunit ribosomal RNA
Source: RNAcentral
AUUGAACGCUGGCGGCAUGCUCUACACAUGCAAGUCGAACGGUAACAGGCCGCAAGGUGCUGACGAGUGGCGAACGGGUGAGUAAUGCAUCGGAACGUGCCCAGUCGUGGGGGAUAACUACUCGAAAGAGUAGCUAAUACCGCAUACGAUCUAUGGAUGAAAGCGGGGGACCGUAAGGCCUCGCGCGAUUGGAGCGGCCGAUGUCAGAUUAGGUAGUUGGUGGGGUAAAGGCUCACCAAGCCAACGAUCUGUAGCUGGUCUGAGAGGACGACCAGCCACACUGGGACUGAGACACGGCCCAGACUCCUACGGGAGGCAGCAGUGGGGAAUUUUGGACAAUGGGCGCAAGCCUGAUCCAGCAAUGCCGCGUGCAGGAAGAAGGCCUUCGGGUUGUAAACUGCUUUUGUACGGAACGAAACGGCUCUGGUUAAUACCGGGGGCUAAUGACGGUACCGUAAGAAUAAGCACCGGCUAACUACGUG